This 378-nucleotide long non-coding RNA is filed under the name Capsicum annuum. RNAcentral's name for it is "long non-coding RNA (CANN_LNC014466)". Lineage: Eukaryota; Viridiplantae; Streptophyta; Magnoliopsida; Solanales; Solanaceae. The record is from RNAcentral.
CUUCUUUCUGCGCAGCAGCAGCUUCUCUCUCCUUUCUUCUUGCAGUCUAAUAAUGUAAAGAACAAAUGAGGAAAUAACAAAAUUCCUCAAAUAGUAGACAAAAUAAAUGAAUCCCAGAAAUGCUCCUCGCAUGCAAGAAAAAUAAACCACACAAUAGCAUGAGAUACAUAGUGAGAGAAAAGAGGAGCUAGAUAGGGAUACGAACAGAAGAAUUAGAUCCAAAGGAGGCAUACCUUUCCCAUAGCAAUGGUCACAUCAUUGCCGGAACCAAUAUCAGCGAUUGCUCUUCUUAUUUGCGCCACAAGAUACUGUGAAAUUAAACAAAGCAAGAAAGCAGAAGUCACAAAUGAAUAUCAAGGUAUAUGAACAAGCCAACAG